UUACUGAAAUUGAAAGUUACUGAAAUGUUGGAUAUCAAAUAUUGUUCCAUGUGACUUAUGUGCAAUCUUCAUAUCAAAUUAUAGAGUAUGUGUUGUCAUCAUUAUCUUCAUUUGACAGAUAAGGCAUCUGAAAUACAGGGGACUAAAGUAACAUAUUCAGAUUACUGCAGAAGAUAAAAGGAGACACAUGUUUCUUAAUGUGGAUCUAAGUUGAAUUUCACAGAUGUUUAUUUUAACUGACUGGGUCAUAGUCUUGCCUAAGUACCUGUACUUGUCCUUAAAAAGAAUUACAAGUGUUUUCUGAAUAAUCUUAAUAGUUUACAUUAACUACUUGAAAUAGUCCAAAGCCUCAACAACAAUCAAUAAUCUAAGAAUGAAUACAUCUUACAUGUUGCUAAAGACACUUUCCCAGUACAGCAUUUAGAAAUACACUGGACUUUAUGAUGCUCAAAGAAGAGAAAAGCUAGAUAAGGUCAAAGGAAGACAGAUUGUACAGGCAUUCAAAUAUAGGAAUAAAUGGAAGCAUAUUUUUAAUAAAAAAAAUGCACAGUAGACUAGAACUAGAAGGGGACAUUGAAACCAACAAGAAAGACCUACACAUUCCACAUAAAGAAACAUGGGUAAUGGAAUCUGCCUAUGUCAUUCAGCUGAUUAAAACUGUUUUAAGUAUUUUAGAGAGAUAAACUUUAAAUAGAAGGACAAUUUAAUUUUGAUAAUGCAAAAAUUGCUAUUACCUGUCUAUACUUCCAAGGUUUUAUAUCCUUCAAUUUUCUUGAUUUGAUCAAAUGACUUUCUAGAGUUCCAUAAGUAAACUUUAGACUAUUGCACUCUUCCUAAAUGACUUCAUUUGUCAGUGUUGAGUAUGGAACCCAGGGACUUAUGCACACUGGGCAAGCAUUCCAAUACUAAGCUACAGCUACAGCUAUAGCCCCUGGUUUUGUAACAAGGUUCUUGCUAUGUAACCCACACUGUCCUCAACCUCACAAUCCCACUGCCGCUGCUUCCAAAGUGCUGGAAUUAUAGGUGUGCAAUGACAUACUUGGCUCUGAAUGACUUCUAAUUCCUUAGUUUUAAAAGUGAGGUGAAGUGGGAAGGAAGAAAUUAUAGUAAAGUAUUUCUUUUACAGAGCAUCAUUGUUUCCAAUCCUCUAAAUUUAACUA
This is a long non-coding RNA of Perognathus longimembris pacificus (Pacific pocket mouse), 1160 nucleotides long. RefSeq lists it as uncharacterized. The record is from RefSeq and is a predicted model, not a curated record. NCBI's taxonomy places the organism in Eukaryota, Metazoa, Chordata, Mammalia, Rodentia, Heteromyidae. The transcript has 2 exons.